RNAcentral lists this ribosomal RNA (495 nucleotides) under uncultured bacterium. RNAcentral describes it as "bacterial SSU rRNA". It matches the Rfam family "Bacterial small subunit ribosomal RNA", at positions 1 to 507 of the family's 1533-position model. The record is from RNAcentral.
GAUAUCGACGAGUUUGAUCAUGGCUCAGAAUCAACGCUGGCGGCGUGCCUCAGACAUGCAAGUCGAACGAUUAAAGCUCUCUUCGGAGAGUGCAUAGAGUGGCGCACGGGUGAGUAACACGUAAGUAAUCUACCUUCGAGUGGGGAAUAACGUCCGGAAACGGGCGCUAAUACCGCAUAAUGCAGCGGCAUCGCAAGAUGACAGUUGUUAAAGGAGCAAUCCGCUUGAAGAGGAGCUUGCGGCAGAUUAGCUAGUUGGUAGGGUAAUGGCCUACCAAGGCUACGAUCUGUAACCGGUCUUAGAGGACGGUCGGUCACACUGACACUGAAUAACGGGUCAGACUCCUACGGGAGGCAGCAGUCGGGAAUUUUGGGCAAUGGGGGAAACCCUGACCCAGCAACGCCGCGUGAAGGAUGAAGUAUUUCGGUAUGUAAACUUCGAAAGAAUAGGAAGAAUUAAUGACGGUACUAUUUAUAAGGUCCGGCUAACUACGUG